RNAcentral lists this ribosomal RNA (493 nucleotides) under Escherichia coli. Its description in RNAcentral is "partial 23S ribosomal RNA". It matches the Rfam family "Bacterial large subunit ribosomal RNA", at positions 1270 to 1765 of the family's 2925-position model. The record is from RNAcentral. Lineage: Bacteria; Pseudomonadati; Pseudomonadota; Gammaproteobacteria; Enterobacterales; Enterobacteriaceae.
AUGCUGGAGGUAUCAGAAGUGCGAAUGCUGACAUAAGUAACGAUAAAGCGGGUGAAAAGCCCGCUCGCCGGAAGACCAAGGGUUCCUGUCCAACGUUAAUCGGGGCAGGGUGAGUCGACCCCUAAGGCGAGGCCGAAAGGCGUAGUCGAUGGGAAACAGGUUAAUAUUCCUGUACUUGGUGUUACUGCGAAGGGGGGACGGAGAAGGCUAUGUUGGCCGGGCGACGGUUGUCCCGGUUUAAGCGUGUAGGCUGGUUUUCCAGGCAAAUCCGGAAAAUCAAGGCUGAGGCGUGAUGACGAGGCACUACGGUGCUGAAGCAACAAAUGCCCUGCUUCCAGGAAAAGCCUCUAAGCAUCAGGUAACAUCAAAUCGUACCCCAAACCGACACAGGUGGUCAGGUAGAGAAUACCAAGGCGCUUGAGAGAACUCGGGUGAAGGAACUAGGCAAAAUGGUGCCGUAACUUCGGGAGAAGGCACGCUGAUAUGUAGGUGA